This 434-nucleotide ribosomal RNA is filed under the name uncultured archaeon. RNAcentral describes it as "bacterial SSU rRNA". It matches the Rfam family "Archaeal small subunit ribosomal RNA", at positions 19 to 458 of the family's 1478-position model. The record is from RNAcentral.
GGACCUGACUGCUAUCGGAUUGAUACUAAGCCAUGCGAGUCAUUGUAGCAAUACAAGGCAUACGGCUCAGUAACGCGUAGUCAACCUAACCUAUGGACGGGAAUAACCUCGGGAAACUGAGAAUAAUGCCCGAUAGAACAUUAUGCCUGGAAUGGUUUAUGUUCCAAAUGAUUUAUCGCCGUAGGAUGGGACUGCGGCCUAUCAGUUUGUUGGUGAGGUAAUGGCCCACCAAGACUAUUACAGGUACGGGCUCUGAGAGGUGUAGCCCGGAGAUGGGUACUGAGACACGGACCCAGGCCCUAUGGGGCGCAGCAGGCGAGAAAACUUUGCAAUGUGCGAAAGCACGACAAGGUUAAUCCGAGUGGUUUCUGCUAAAGAAACCUUUUGUCAGUCCUAGAAACACUGAUGAAUAAGGGGUGGGCAAGUUCUGGUGU